UGGGGAAUUUUGCACAAUGGGGGAAACCCUGAUGCAGCGACGCCGCGUGAUUUAGAAGGCCUCCGGUUUGUAAAAAUCUUUCCUGUGGAAAGAAAAUGACAGUACCAUAGGAAUAAGGACCGGCUAAUUACGUGCCAGCACCGGGGGAAAUACGUAAGGUCCGAGCGUUGUCCGGAAUCAUUGGGCGUAAAGGGUACGUAGGCGGGUAAGCAAGUUAGAAGUGAAAUCCUAUAGCUCAACUAUAGUAAGCUUUUAAAACUGCUCAUCUUGAGGUAUGGAAGGGAAAGUGGAAUUCCUAGUGUAGCGGUGAAAUGCGCAGAUAUUAGGAGGAAUACCGGUGGCGAAGGCGACUUUCUGGCCAUAACCUGACGCUGAGGUACGAAAGCGUGGGUAGCAAACAGG
RNAcentral lists this ribosomal RNA (402 nucleotides) under bacterium. RNAcentral's name for it is "partial 16S ribosomal RNA". It matches the Rfam family "Bacterial small subunit ribosomal RNA", at positions 355 to 776 of the family's 1533-position model. The record is from RNAcentral.